CAUGAGAUCGCUAAAAACAAAAGGUAUCACAGAUUCUCAGAGCAGAAAGGAAAAGGAUUUUGGAGCAUCCUACAGAUUUUCAUUUUUCAAAACUUACGUGUCGAUCUCUAUAACCCACACAAGCAAGGACUGUGUAACCUUUUUAUGACAAACAAAGGGUCCUUGUGGGCAAGAGUGAGGUGGCCCUAGGGCGUGUGGCCAGAUCUGCCUGGGCCCAUUGGUUCUGCUACCUCACAGAACCCAGUGUGAGGUCACAGUUGUUAGCUAUAUAAGGCCGAGGCUCAGGUGGAUCGCUUGUGGGUGACCUAGGAGUUGGACGGCGAGUGUUGGUGGUGAUUUGGUGAUCGGGUUGGUGGUGUGGAGAGUGGAGCUUCUGUUUCCAUCGAGAUCUACAGGGUGGGUAGUGCCAUGAGGGAACAUCUUGGCUGGACUUCACCGACAUGUCCAGCAGUCAGCCUCCAGGAAAACUAUGAGGUGCUGGCCCGCUUUGACAAAGGCGGCUUUGGUAGGAUCUUCCUGUGGCACGGGGAUGCUGGUCGCUGUGAAGGAGUUAGAGAAGGCAACGAUGCCAGCAGCCUGCAUUACAUCGGAGGUAGAGAUCCUGCAGGACCUUGAGCACCCUAACCUUGUACAGCUACUGGAGGUCAUCAAAACCAAGAACGAAGUAUACCUGGUCCUAGAGUAUGCGGACGGGGGGGAAACCUGCAGCAACGGAUCCUCAGGACUGAAAACCACAGGCUGCCGGAGGAGGAGGCCCGAGGGAUAUUUCGGGAUAUCAUGGGAGCCGUGGAUUACUGUCAUGCCCAGGGAAUUGUACACGGGGACCUCAAACCCAAAAAUGUUCUCAUAGAUUCCCAAGGUCACGCCAAAAUCUGUGACUUUGGGGCGGGAUACCGGUUCCUCCCUGGGCAGGAGAUGGUCGUAACUCAUGGCACGCUGAAAUACUGUGCCCCAGAGCGGCUCUUGUCUGGGUGGUAUGAAGGCCGUCCCCUGGAUGUUUGGGCCCUUGGAGUUUUAUUAUAUGAAAUCCUCACGGGGCAGCUCCCGCUUAAUGGGGCUAAAAUAGAGAUGGUCCGAACUAUGCUAUCUGGGAGGUACUCUUGUCCCCAGUCCAUCUCCCCGGGAUGCACAAGAUCUCAUCCGGAACCUCCUGCACUCCAACCCCAGGAUGCGGCCCACAGUGCAGGAGGUGCUGCAGCACGCAGUGGCUCCAAGGUGUCCCACCCCUCAGUCCUCCUGAGCUCCCUAUCCCUGUAAAAACUCAUAUCCUCCACCUGAUGGACAGGAUGGGAUUUGACCCGCCCAAGGUCCUUCACUCAGUGAAUAGAAAGGCGCACAACAACGAGAUGGCCACAUUCCUGCUGUUGCAGAGGCUGGCACUCCAGGGGGUGCCCUUAAGGAUAUGCGUGAGGCCUGUGUGUGCACCUGAGAAUGAGGAUGCCCCUGAACAGGAAAUAGCAUCACCCUCAACAGCUCCUGCACCCUCAUCUCACAUCCCCCCGAGGAGUGCCAGCGCACUUGUCACCUGCAUGGGCCUCUUAUUUCCUGGGGUGAAGCCCACAGGAAGGCAGGGUGGUGGAGGCUCCCAGCCACCCAUUCCCAUCCCCAGGACCCCAACUCCUGGCAUGUCCUGCCAGCCUAGCCCUGCCGCCUGCCCAGGGUGUUCUGCCAGCCUGGCCCUGGGGCUUCCUGCUCUACCUCCAGCCCCACCUCCACCCCUAGCAGCAGAGGGAGGCAAUGCUGGAAGGCUCUGAAGAGGAGCAGCAGAGACUACCUGACAGCCCUGCUGCUGCGGCUGCCUGCCACCCUCAGGGCGCCACCAAAACAAGGUGGCCCCAAUUACAGAUCCUUGAGAAGUGACUCCGUAGAUGUGGCGAUCCUGCUCAUGGGGUAUAAGACCGAGGGCCUUACCAACACUCCAAGGAGCUGAGUGCAGUGAAGAACACCUGGGAAGGAACACACUGGACAAGUUGAAAAAUAAAACAGACCUUUAUUAGUCUGGCCAGAUGGCACUCCCAAAGC
Molecule: long non-coding RNA, 2022 nt
Filed under: Heterocephalus glaber (naked mole-rat)
Lineage: Eukaryota; Metazoa; Chordata; Mammalia; Rodentia; Bathyergidae
Description: lncRNA (ENSHGLG00000043555.1)
Source: RNAcentral